UGGCGCAAUCCCAGCUCACUGCAAGCUCCGCCUCCCGGGUUCACGCUGUUUUCCUGCCUCAGCCUCCAGAGUAGCUGGGACUACAGGUGCCCGCUACCAUGCCUGGCUAAUUUUUUUGCAUUUUCGUAGAGACGGGGUUUCACUGUGUUAGCCAGGAUGGUCUUGAUCUCCUGACCUCGUGAUCCGCCUGCCUUGGCCUCCCAAAGUGUUGGGAUUACAGGUGUGAGCCACCGCGCCCGGUCGAGUUUUCUUCUUUAAUCUGGUGUUGAUCCUGAGAGUGCUUUGUUAAAAAACAUUCUCCAUGCUGACCUCCGUUUUCGAGUCCGCUUCCUGGGGAAACCUGAAACAGGACUUGAUGCUAGCAGCUGCCCAGAAGAACCAGAUGGGCCACUGUCCUUGCCAGAAGAUCUGAUAUCCUGUGUAUGGCCACCACCUAACACUGCUCACUUCUACAUGUAAACCUCAGGUUCUUUCCUCUACAUGGUAUCAAGAAAUUUCUGGCAUCUGAAACAACUCUGAGUCUAGGUUUCAGAAAACCAAGUGAACAAAUGGAACAAGCGCCAAUUGUUUAAGAUGAAAUCACUGAUAACUGCAGCCAUGUUGAUUAAUUCAACCUGAUCUAAAAUUAUUUACCCUCUCUUUUGUUUAGAAACCUUAGAGUCUGUUCCAACACAUAUAAUCUAUGUUCUUGAUGUUCUAAAUUAGAAAAAUGAUACAA
Homo sapiens (human) is the source of this 718-nucleotide long non-coding RNA. The record is from Ensembl. NCBI's taxonomy places the organism in Eukaryota, Metazoa, Chordata, Mammalia, Primates, Hominidae.